RNAcentral lists this ribosomal RNA (225 nucleotides) under Selaginella moellendorffii. Its description in RNAcentral is "rRNA LSU_rRNA_eukarya". The record is from RNAcentral. Lineage: Eukaryota; Viridiplantae; Streptophyta; Lycopodiopsida; Selaginellales; Selaginellaceae.
CUAGUCCGACUUUUUGAAAUGACUUGAGAGGUGUAGAAUAAGUGGGAGCUUCGGCGCAAGUGAAAUACCACUAAUGGUAAGUCUUUUAGGCCAAGUAGAAAAUGGCAUGAGGCCACAUGCCAUUCAGUAGCAACAUUGGCAUGCACCGAUUGGGCUCUCGAGUGCAGUCCAGUUACAGAUGGCGUGUCUGUCACUUGGAUCCAGCAACUGUCAAUGUGGAUGCAG